UACGGAGGGUGCGAGCGUUAAUCGGAAUAACUGGGCGUAAAGGGCACGCAGGCGGUGGAUUAAGUGAGAUGUGAAAGCCCCGGGCUUAACCUGGGAAUUGCAUUUCAUACUGGUCGACUAGAGUACUUUAGGGAGGGGUAGAAUUCCACGUGUAGCGGUGAAAUGCGUAGAGAUGUGGAGGAAUACCGAAGGCGAAGGCAGCCCCUUGGGAAGAUACUGACGCUCAUGUGCGAAAGCGUGGGGAGCAAAC
This 250-nucleotide ribosomal RNA is filed under the name uncultured prokaryote. Its description in RNAcentral is "partial 16S ribosomal RNA". It matches the Rfam family "Bacterial small subunit ribosomal RNA", at positions 524 to 773 of the family's 1533-position model. The record is from RNAcentral.